GGAAUAAGCCUCGGCUAACUACGUGCCAGCAGCCGCGGUAAAACGUAGGAGGCGAGCGUUAUCCGGAUUUACUGGGUGUAAAGCGCGUGCAGGCGGUAAGCUAAGUUGGGUGUGAAAGCUCCUGGCUCAACUGGGAGAGGUCGCUCAAGACUGGCUAACUCGAGGAUGGUAGGGGAAGGUGGAAUUCCGGGUGUAGUGGUGAAAUGCGUAGAUAUCCGGAGGAACACCAGUGGCGAAGGCGGCCUUCUGGACCAUCACUGACGCUCAGACGCGAAAGCUAGGGUAGCAAACGGGAUUGGAGACCCCGGUAGUCCUAGCCGUAAACGAUGUGAACUUGGCGCUGGUCGGGUAAAACUGAUCCGUGCCGUAGCAAACGCGAUAAGUUCACCACCUGGGGACUACGGCCGCAAGGUUAAAGCUCAAAGGAAUUGACGGGGGCCCGCACAAGCAGCGGAGCGUGUGGUUUAAUUCGAUGCUACACGAAGAACCUUACCAGGGCUUGACAUGGAAGUGGUAGUGAAGCGAAAGCGGAACGACCCUUCGGGGAGCUUACACAGGUGCUGCAUGGCUGUCGUCAGCUCGUGUCGUGAGAUGUUCGGUUAAGUCCGCUAACGAGCGCAACCCUCGCCGCGUGUUAUACGUGUCACGCGGGACUGCCAGUCUUAAGCUGGAGGAAGGUGGGGAUGACGUCAAGUCAGCAUGGCCUUUAUGUCCUGGGCUACACACACGCUACAAUGGCCGGUACAGUAGGUAGCGAAGCCGCGAGGUGGAGCCAAUCCACAAAGCCGGUCUCAGUUCAGAUUGCAGGCUGCAACCCGCCUGCAUGAAGACGGAGUUGCUAGUAACCGCAGGUCAGCUAUACUGCGGUGAAUACGUUCCCGGGCCUUGCACACACCGCCCGU
This 902-nucleotide ribosomal RNA is filed under the name uncultured bacterium. RNAcentral's name for it is "bacterial SSU rRNA". It matches the Rfam family "Bacterial small subunit ribosomal RNA", at positions 483 to 1397 of the family's 1533-position model. The record is from RNAcentral.